Molecule: small nuclear RNA, 287 nt
Filed under: Erinaceus europaeus (western European hedgehog)
Lineage: Eukaryota; Metazoa; Chordata; Mammalia; Eulipotyphla; Erinaceidae
Description: 7SK RNA
Rfam family: 7SK RNA
About the family: 7SK was discovered as an abundant small nuclear RNA in the mid-70s but a possible function has only recently been suggested. Two independent studies have found that 7SK RNA binds the CDK9/cyclin T complex (known as elongation factor P-TEFb).
Source: Rfam by way of RNAcentral
GGAUGUGAGGGUGAUUUGGCUAAGACAUCUGUCACCCCGUUGAUCGCCAGGGUUGCUUUGGCUGAUCUGGCUUCCUCCCCCACCACUCCCUGUGCGUCCCUCCUGAAGCUGCAGCUGGGUGGAAGAGGACGGCCUUCCCCAAAUACAGACAGACCAGUCUUCAGUCAAGGAUAUACAGAAAGCUGCACUCCCCUGCUAGAACCUCCAAACAAGCUCUCAAGAGUUUGUUUUUCAGGCUGGGAGAAUAGCACAGUGGUUUUGCAAAAGACUCUUACACUAGGCUCUGA